This 75-nucleotide transfer RNA is filed under the name Streptomyces phage Bartholomune. RNAcentral describes it as "tRNA-Ala". Lineage: Duplodnaviria; Heunggongvirae; Uroviricota; Caudoviricetes; Stanwilliamsviridae. The record is from RNAcentral. RNAcentral also lists the same sequence under 1 other name.
UGUCACGUAAUUCAAUUGGCAGAAUCAAUGCCCUUGGCCAGGGUAGGUUGCUCGUUCGAAUCGAGCCGUGACAGC